CUGAACCCUCGCCGGCGACCACCGCCGUCCGCCCGCGCCGCCACAACACCGCAAGCCACGCCCUGUCACCGCCAGCAACCGCUCCAGCCUCAGCCGCCGGCCGCCGCCACUACAAGCCGGACCACCGCCGUCGCCGCUCACGUUCUCCGCGAGUCUCACCACCACCCAGCAUCACGACGACAGCCGUCGCACUGCCGCCCAGUCAAUCCGCUCCGUCGCGCUGCCCUACCCGCCGGCCAGCACCUCCCCUCUCCUCCUUUUGGCGGAGAAUUCUUUGUAGGCGAUUUUUGAAUUCGUUAAAGUGGCCUAUCGGUUUGUUUACACAAGUCUCUAAGGAUCAAUAAGCAUUGUCCAUCUGCAGGUUUGAAGAUGAUGCAUCAUUGGGGAUCGGGAUUAGAGAGCUUGUAGUUAGAUUUGCUUUAUUAAGUGAUUUGGUUUGUUAACUUAAAUUUGAAAUUUGUCGUACUAUUCGUAUUUCCUUAUUUCAGUUAAAUGGGUUUUGGACUAAA
Long non-coding RNA from Spinacia oleracea (spinach), 509 nucleotides. RefSeq lists it as uncharacterized. The transcript has 2 exons. NCBI's taxonomy places the organism in Eukaryota, Viridiplantae, Streptophyta, Magnoliopsida, Caryophyllales, Amaranthaceae. The record is from RefSeq and is a predicted model, not a curated record.